UACGUAGGGGGCAAGCGUUGUCCGGAUUUAUUGGGCGUAAGGAGCGUGUAGGCGGCUUGGUAGGUCUCGCGUCAAAACCUGAGGCUCAACCUCAGUUCGCGUGGGAAACCACCUAGCUAGAGUCCGGAAGAGGAGAACGGAAUUCCCAGUGUAGCGGUGAAAUGCGCAGAUAUUGGGAAGAACACCAGUGGCGAAGGCGGUUCUCUGGGACGGUACUGACGCUGAGACGCGAAAGCGUGGGGAGCGAACAGG
Molecule: ribosomal RNA, 252 nt
Filed under: uncultured bacterium
Lineage: Bacteria
Description: partial 16S ribosomal RNA
Rfam family: Bacterial small subunit ribosomal RNA
Source: RNAcentral